Long non-coding RNA from Chiroxiphia lanceolata (lance-tailed manakin), 98 nucleotides. RefSeq lists it as uncharacterized. The transcript has 3 exons. The record is from RefSeq and is a predicted model, not a curated record. Lineage: Eukaryota; Metazoa; Chordata; Aves; Passeriformes; Pipridae.
CCCCCAAAGGAUCAUAGUUUAAGGGGGGUACUUUUGAAUUAGAUGAUCAAUGGAGCAUAGAGGUGUGAGAAAGAAAUCAUACUAGGAUGUGAAACCAG